GUAUUCGUGGUGUAGCGGUUAUCACGUGCGCUUCGCACGCGCAAUGUACCCGGUUCGAUCCCGAGCGAAAACA
This 73-nucleotide transfer RNA is filed under the name Limulus polyphemus (Atlantic horseshoe crab). RNAcentral describes it as "tRNA-Ala". Lineage: Eukaryota; Metazoa; Arthropoda; Merostomata; Xiphosura; Limulidae. The record is from RNAcentral.